Molecule: ribosomal RNA, 2895 nt
Filed under: Salmonella enterica subsp. enterica serovar Wippra
Lineage: Bacteria; Pseudomonadati; Pseudomonadota; Gammaproteobacteria; Enterobacterales; Enterobacteriaceae
Description: bacterial LSU rRNA
Rfam family: Bacterial large subunit ribosomal RNA
Source: RNAcentral
ACUAAGCGUACACGGUGGAUGCCCUGGCAGUCAGAGGCGAUGAAGGACGUGCUAAUCUGCGAUAAGCGCCGGUAAGGUGAUAUGAACCGUUAUAACCGGCGAUUUCCGAAUGGGGAAACCCAGUGUGAUUCGUCACACUAUCAUUAACUGAAUCCAUAGGUUAAUGAGGCGAACCGGGGGAACUGAAACAUCUAAGUACCCCGAGGAAAAGAAAUCAACCGAGAUUCCCCCAGUAGCGGCGAGCGAACGGGGAGGAGCCCAGAGCCUGAAUCAGCAUGUGUGUUAGUGGAAGCGUCUGGAAAGGCGCGCGAUACAGGGUGACAGCCCCGUACACAAAAGCGCAUGUGCUGUGAGCUCGAUGAGUAGGGCGGGACACGUGGUAUCCUGUCUGAAUAUGGGGGGACCAUCCUCCAAGGCUAAAUACUCCUGACUGACCGAUAGUGAACCAGUACCGUGAGGGAAAGGCGAAAAGAACCCCGGCGAGGGGAGUGAAAAAGAACCUGAAACCGUGUACGUACAAGCAGUGGGAGCACCCUUCGGGGUGUGACUGCGUACCUUUUGUAUAAUGGGUCAGCGACUUAUAUUCUGUAGCAAGGUUAACCGUAUAGGGGAGCCGCAGGGAAACCGAGUCUUAACCGGGCGUUAAGUUGCAGGGUAUAGACCCGAAACCCGGUGAUCUAGCCAUGGGCAGGUUGAAGGUUGGGUAACACUAACUGGAGGACCGAACCGACUAAUGUUGAAAAAUUAGCGGAUGACCUGUGGCUGGGGGUGAAAGGCCAAUCAAACCGGGAGAUAGCUGGUUCUCCCCGAAAGCUAUUUAGGUAGCGCCUCGUGAAUUCAUCUCCGGGGGUAGAGCACUGUUUCGGCUAGGGGGCCAUCCCGGCUUACCAACCCGAUGCAAACUGCGAAUACCGGAGAAUGUUAUCACGGGAGACACACGGCGGGUGCUAACGUCCGUCGUGAAGAGGGAAACAACCCAGACCGCCAGCUAAGGUCCCAAAGUCAUGGUUAAGUGGGAAACGAUGUGGGAAGGCCCAGACAGCCAGGAUGUUGGCUUAGAAGCAGCCAUCAUUUAAAGAAAGCGUAAUAGCUCACUGGUCGAGUCGGCCUGCGCGGAAGAUGUAACGGGGCUAAACCAUGCACCGAAGCUGCGGCAGCGACGCUGAUGCGUUGUUGGGUAGGGGAGCGUUCUGUAAGCCUGUGAAGGUGGCCUGUGAGGGUUGCUGGAGGUAUCAGAAGUGCGAAUGCUGACAUAAGUAACGAUAAAGCGGGUGAAAAGCCCGCUCGCCGGAAGACCAAGGGUUCCUGUCCAACGUUAAUCGGGGCAGGGUGAGUCGACCCCUAAGGCGAGGCCGAAAGGCGUAGUCGAUGGGAAACGGGUUAAUAUUCCCGUACUUGGUGUUACUGCGAAGGGGGGACGGAGAAGGCUAUGUUGGCCGGGCGACGGUUGUCCCGGUUUAAGCGUGUAGGUGUGUGUUCCAGGUAAAUCCGGUUCACUUUAACACUGAGGCGUGAUGACGAGGCACUACGGUGCUGAAGCAACAAAUGCCCUGCUUCCAGGAAAAGCCUCUAAGCAUCAGGUAACAUCAAAUCGUACCCCAAACCGACACAGGUGGUCAGGUAGAGAAUACCAAGGCGCUUGAGAGAACUCGGGUGAAGGAACUAGGCAAAAUGGUGCCGUAACUUCGGGAGAAGGCACGCUGACACGUAGGUGAAGUGAUUUACUCAUGGAGCUGAAGUCAGUCGAAGAUACCAGCUGGCUGCAACUGUUUAUUAAAAACACAGCACUGUGCAAACACGAAAGUGGACGUAUACGGUGUGACGCCUGCCCGGUGCCGGAAGGUUAAUUGAUGGGGUCAGCGCAAGCGAAGCUCCUGAUCGAAGCCCCGGUAAACGGCGGCCGUAACUAUAACGGUCCUAAGGUAGCGAAAUUCCUUGUCGGGUAAGUUCCGACCUGCACGAAUGGCGUAAUGAUGGCCAGGCUGUCUCCACCCGAGACUCAGUGAAAUUGAACUCGCUGUGAAGAUGCAGUGUACCCGCGGCAAGACGGAAAGACCCCGUGAACCUUUACUAUAGCUUGACACUGAACAUUGAGCCUUGAUGUGUAGGAUAGGUGGGAGGCUUUGAAGUGUGGACGCCAGUCUGCAUGGAGCCGACCUUGAAAUACCACCCUUUAAUGUUUGAUGUUCUAACGUGGACCCGUUACCCGGGUUGCGGACAGUGUCUGGUGGGUAGUUUGACUGGGGCGGUCUCCUCCUAAAGAGUAACGGAGGAGCACGAAGGUUGGCUAAUCCUGGUCGGACAUCAGGAGGUUAGUGCAAUGGCAUAAGCCAGCUUGACUGCGAGCGUGACGGCGCGAGCAGGUGCGAAAGCAGGUCAUAGUGAUCCGGUGGUUCUGAAUGGAAGGGCCAUCGCUCAACGGAUAAAAGGUACUCCGGGGAUAACAGGCUGAUACCGCCCAAGAGUUCAUAUCGACGGCGGUGUUUGGCACCUCGAUGUCGGCUCAUCACAUCCUGGGGCUGAAGUAGGUCCCAAGGGUAUGGCUGUUCGCCAUUUAAAGUGGUACGCGAGCUGGGUUUAGAACGUCGUGAGACAGUUCGGUCCCUAUCUGCCGUGGGCGCUGGAGAACUGAGGGGGGCUGCUCCUAGUACGAGAGGACCGGAGUGGACGCAUCACUGGUGUUCGGGUUGUCAUGCCAAUGGCACUGCCCGGUAGCUAAAUGCGGAAGAGAUAAGUGCUGAAAGCAUCUAAGCACGAAACUUGCCCCGAGAUGAGUUCUCCCUGAGACUUAGAGUCUCCUGAAGGAACGUUGAAGACGACGACGUUGAUAGGCCGGGUGUGUAAGCGCAGCGAUGCGUUGAGCUAACCGGUACUAAUGAACCGUGAGGCUUAACC